This 251-nucleotide ribosomal RNA is filed under the name uncultured bacterium. RNAcentral describes it as "partial 16S ribosomal RNA". It matches the Rfam family "Bacterial small subunit ribosomal RNA", at positions 524 to 775 of the family's 1533-position model. The record is from RNAcentral.
UACGUAGGGUGCAAGCGUUAAUCGGAAUUACUGGGCGUAAAGCGUGCGCAGGCGGCUUUGCAAGACAGAUGUGAAAUCCCCGGGCUCAACCUGGGAACUGCAUUUGUGACUGCAUGGCUAGAGUACGGUAGAGGGGGAUGGAAUUCCGCGUGUAGCAGUGAAAUGCGUAGAUAUGCGGAGGAACACCGAUGGCGAAGGCAAUCCCUGGACCUGUACUGACGCUCAUGCACGAAAGCGUGGGGAGCAACAGG